GUAGGGAAUAUUGGGCAAUGGUCGGAAGACUGACCCAGCCAUGCCGCGUGCAGGAAGACGGCCCUCUGGGCUGUAAACUGCUUUUAUCUGGGAAGAAAAAGUCCAUGCGUGGCAAAUUGCCGGUACCAGAUGAAUAAGCACCGGCUAACUCCGUGCCAGCAGCCGCGGUAAUACGGAGGGUGCGAGCGUUGUCCGGAUUUAUUGGGUUUAAAGGGUGCGUAGGCGGCUGAUUAAGUCAGCGGUGAAAGACUUCGGCUUAACCGGAGCAGUGCCGUUGAUACUGGUUGGCUUGAGUGUCGGAGGGGUACAUGGAAUUGAUGGUGUAGCGGUGAAAUGCAUAGAUACCAUCAGGAACACCGAUAGCGAAGGCAUUGUACUGGCCGACAACUGACGCUGAUGCACGAAAGUGUGGGGAUCGAACAGGAUUAGAUACCCCGGUAGUCC
This 444-nucleotide ribosomal RNA is filed under the name uncultured bacterium. RNAcentral's name for it is "partial 16S ribosomal RNA". It matches the Rfam family "Bacterial small subunit ribosomal RNA", at positions 354 to 796 of the family's 1533-position model. The record is from RNAcentral.